GGCGGCGAGUGGCGGACGGGUGAGUAACGCGCAGGAAUCUGCCUGGUAGCGGGGGACAACUCGGGGAAACUCGAGCUAAUACCGCAUACGCCCUACGGGGGAAAGCGGGGGACCUUCGGGCCUCGCACUAUCAGAUGAGCCUGCGUCCGAUUAGCUUGUUGGUGAGGUAAUGGCUCACCAAGGCUACGAUCGGUAGCUGGUCUGAGAGGAUGAUCAGCCACACUGGGACUGAGACACGGCCCAUACUCCUACGGGAGGCAGCAGCGGGGAAUAUUGCGCAAUGGACGGAAGUCAGACGCAGCGACGCCGCGUGGGUGAGGAAGGCCUUCGGGUUGUAAAGCCCUUUUCAGGGGAGCGAGAAAGGACGGUACCCUUGGAAUAAGCGUCGGCUAACUACGUGCCAGCAGCCGCGGUAAGACGUAGGACGCAAGCGUUAUCCGGAUUUACUAGGCGUAAAGCGCCUGUAGGCGGUCAAGUAAGUCGGAUGUGAAAGCCCCGUGCUCAACGCGGGGAAGCCAUUCGAUACUGCGUGACUAGAGAACGGCAGAGGGAAACGGAAUUUCUGGUGUAGCGGUAAAAUGCGCAGAGAUCAGAAAGAACACCGAUGGCGAAGGCAGUUUCCUAGGCCGCAUCUGACGCUGAGAGGCGAAAGCUAGGGGAGCAAACAGGAUUAGAGACCCUGGUAGUCCUAGCUGUAAACGAUGGAUGCUAGGUGUGGGCCGGAAAGGUCCGUGCCGUAGUUAACGCGAUAAGCAUCCCGCCUGGGGAGUACGGCCGCAAGGCUAAAACUCAAACGAAUUGACGGGGACCCGCACAAGCAGCGGAGCGUGUGGUUUAAUUCGAUGCUACACGCAGAACCUUACCUGGGCUUGACAUGUAGGUGGUAGUGAAGUGAAAGCGGAGCGACCCUUCGGGGAGCCUACACAGGUGCUGCAUGGCUGUCGUCAGCUCGUGCCGUGAGGUGUCGGGUUAAGUCCCGUAACGAGCGCAACCCUUGUCCUUAGUUACAAGUGUCUAAGGAGACUGCCGGUGACAAACCGGAGGAAGGUGGGGAUGACGUCAAGUCAGCAUGGCCCUUAUGUCCAGGGCGACACACACGCUACAAUGGUCGGUACAAUGGGCAGCGCAGCCGCGAGGUGAAGCGAAUCCCAACAAAGCCGAUCCCAGUUCGGAUUGCAGGCUGCAACCCGCCUGCAUGAAGCCGGAGUUGCUAGUAACCGCGCGUCAGCCAUAGUGCGGUGAAUACGUUCCCGGUCUUGUACACACCGCCCGUCACGUCAUGG
This 1283-nucleotide ribosomal RNA is filed under the name uncultured organism. RNAcentral describes it as "bacterial SSU rRNA". It matches the Rfam family "Bacterial small subunit ribosomal RNA", at positions 87 to 1407 of the family's 1533-position model. The record is from RNAcentral.